Long non-coding RNA from Ornithodoros turicata, 757 nucleotides. RefSeq lists it as uncharacterized. Lineage: Eukaryota; Metazoa; Arthropoda; Arachnida; Ixodida; Argasidae. The transcript has 4 exons. The record is from RefSeq and is a predicted model, not a curated record.
UAGAGGCAGACUUCAAAGCUUUGAAAACAGCACGGCUUUGACGACUAUCUAUAAGAACUUAUGAAUGCUAUCCGUCAACAGUAGGUACGCCGUUACAUCCCAUCCUGACAACCAUAACAACACGAAGUUGCAAUAUUAAAGACUCCAUGGCGUCGGUCUGAGAGAACGUGGAAACAAGAAACGACUAAAAUUGAAUGCUUCUGGUUCGUGUGCUACUUCAAGCCGCUAAAGCUAGCAGCCCUCCCCUCGAGCCCAGCUAAAGCUAGCAGCCCCCUGGUAGCCCCCCCCCCCUCGAGCUCCAGCUGUGGGGAGCUUGCCCUCUUUUUCAUGCACAGAGGUUCCUGUCAUCAUCCUGUACCAAGUUAGGCACUCACUUGAUGGAAGCGAGCAUACAAUUGUCAGGACCCGUCCGACACACCUCUACGUGCUUCAUAUAGCGCUAGGCUGGCCAUUGCAUAAGAUACCAGACUACGAUGGACACAAGGUAGCAUUUGGCAAGAAAAGGCUGUACAUUAUGUCAAAUCUGAAUGAUUAAAAAAUGCACAGAGUAAUGCACAAAUGCAACUUAGAUACACAAACAAAGCAGGCUUCAGAAAGUCAUUUCAAACUUGCUCAACACAGGUUUUCUGAUCUGCUGUAUAGAGAAUACAAAGAAUAACUGGUUUCAGAUGCUGCCAGUCAUUUUACUGAAACAAAGCCGGAAAUCAAACUUAACAUGUCACGCUUUUGAAAGUGACAGCAAAUCAACAUAUGGUAU